This is a long non-coding RNA of Syngnathoides biaculeatus (alligator pipefish), 265 nucleotides long. RefSeq lists it as uncharacterized. The record is from RefSeq and is a predicted model, not a curated record. The transcript has 3 exons. NCBI's taxonomy places the organism in Eukaryota, Metazoa, Chordata, Actinopteri, Syngnathiformes, Syngnathidae.
GUGUUCGGUUCUGGCCUGAAGUAACCCUGCCUGGUGUCACAGGCGGUGAAUUUAUGACAGCGAAUUGUAGCCGGCGUGACGGGGAACAGUGGCACCGGGAGCACCAAUAUUGGAUCACAAUUUCAGCAAAUAUUGAAUCGGUUCUAUCAGUUGGGUGCACCACCAUGGGUUUGAGAAUCACCGCCAUUUUUUGUUUGAUUGCACCUAUGUCAUUCAGCUGUGACGUGGAGCCACCUGCUGACUGCGUCCUACAUGCUGACGAGGA